UCGAUCGUUCUUUGAAUACUUGUAAGAAUGAUGUUCUAUUCUUUUCCUGUAAAUGGGAAUAUUUGCUUACUGACAUCAACCAAUUCCAAUUGUUUACAUUACAAAAAAAUUUUUUUUCUUCUAAACAAUGACUUGCGUCGGCUAUUGCCCGCGGUAGCGCCGCUCGAGAACAUGCGUGCACGACCCUUCCCCGCGACUUCGUAAGGUCUAAGAAGGCGCAACGAUGUAAACAAGGUAUUGUUUUCGGUUCGCUGACGAGGAAGUGCCCGCGGCAAGUCCGCG
Molecule: non-coding RNA, 282 nt
Organism: Schizosaccharomyces pombe (fission yeast)
Lineage: Eukaryota; Fungi; Ascomycota; Schizosaccharomycetes; Schizosaccharomycetales; Schizosaccharomycetaceae
Source: the annotation of a GenBank genome assembly